Erigeron canadensis is the source of this 418-nucleotide long non-coding RNA. RefSeq lists it as uncharacterized. The record is from RefSeq and is a predicted model, not a curated record. Lineage: Eukaryota; Viridiplantae; Streptophyta; Magnoliopsida; Asterales; Asteraceae. The transcript is spliced from 2 exons.
UUAAAGAGAGAAGAUUUAGCUAAGUAGUGGUCGUUUUGAUAAAAAGUUACGCAUUUACAUUUACAUUUACAUGAUAGCGGCGGCAAAAAAAAAAGAGAAAGGAUUUUGAUGUAAGAAAUAGAGGAAACGAAUUGACGACGACGACUAAAACCAAGUUAAAAACUGAAAGGAAGGAAGGAAAGCUUUAAUUACUUGGGAAAACCAAACCAUCUUAAAGCUAUAAUCUAGCAAUGGAGCCCAAAGAUAAACACAGAAGAGAGAAUGGUAGAACAUGCCAGAAUGGAGGGAUGAUCCAAGGAGUAAAUUCCAAGAAUGUGCCUCUUUUUAAUCUGUUGGACACAAAUGUGCUUGUGUUGAGUUUCUUUUUCCAAACUAUGCUUUUGAUUUAAAAAUAAAUACAGAAAAUAACUUUUUUUUC